RNAcentral lists this long non-coding RNA (1309 nucleotides) under Vigna radiata. RNAcentral's name for it is "long non-coding RNA (VRAD_LNC010447)". Lineage: Eukaryota; Viridiplantae; Streptophyta; Magnoliopsida; Fabales; Fabaceae. The record is from RNAcentral.
GUGGUGGGAGACAUAUGAACUUUCUUUGCUCCUAUAUGUAUUAGUCAUGUUCAUCAUUUUGAAUAAUAUCAUUGGUUGGGGAAAGGAACAAUGGCUUAGUAUGCUUUUUGCAAUAUUUCAGGAAGGAGCACUCAGAGAUAGAUGUGACUUCAGGAUUUUUUGUUCUGUUUUGGUUCAGGUAAAUAAAUACCUUUCUCCCUAUUUUUUGCAUAUAUGGUGCAUAUUCAGCGAGAAUACGUGGUGAUUGUGAGAAAUUUGGGUUAUUAGAACCAAAUAGGCUGUCCUGUUUAUUCUAAAUAAAACUUUAUCAGCGAUUCUUGAUGCAUUAUUAUUCUGUGUAAAGGUUGAACUUCCACACAGUAUAUGGUAGGCCUAGGUAUUGUCUACCCUUAAAGCUUAAAAGGUGUUUGAGUGAUGAGCCAUAUUAGAUAUAGAACCAUUUGAGCCUUCACCCAAUGACUUAAGCCUAUUGGAGAGUUAGUGCUUGAGUUGUUGUCAUGUCUUGAGAAUUACAAACAAUCCUAUAGAACAUGGACAGCAUAAAAGUAAUAUUUAGCUACCUCACUAAGCUUUUCGUCUCCAAAACUAAGUUCCUUAGAAUGACACAAGGGUCUAAGAAAAUGCAUAUAAUAUAUCAAUCUACAUAUUCAAACAGCUAUUUCCUAUUGCAAUUAUGCUCACAUCACAUAUACAACACACUGCACAGAUGACAGAACCACCCAAAAAUAAUAGCAAGCAUAUGCUAUGGCUUUUCAAAUGCACCUAUUCCGUGAGUAUAAUAUACAAUUUUAACCUCACCUAGUCAAAAGACCAAUGUUGGUAUUGAGGGACGUUAUUCUGGUACCUUGCUGGCAGGUAUCAAGUCCUGUCUCUGUAACUUAAUGUAACAUCCGAAAGGACAAGACAAAGGUAGCUCAAAUCAGUUAGCCUGGUACUGGCAACAUAGAUGUAACUUAAUGUCUGAAAAGGUAAAAUCGCAAUAUCUUCAAUAAAUACUGAAUCAAGUGUGGCAACAAAAGGUACCAUAAAUGAUGCAUAUUGUACACUAAAGCACAAUAAUAUAUUAAGGAGUAAAGGUGUUGCCAGUAUUUUGAUUUAAUUUGAAUGAUAUCUCUACUUUGCCCCUCUGCUUCUGCAUCAAAAGCCAAAUGCUUUUAUGAAUCACAAGUCCAACCAAUGGCAAAAAAGGUCCAUCUUUAGUUCUUCAUACAAGCUUAAAAUUAACCUUACAAAGAGUCUGUUUAUGUAGAGUACGAGUGAAGAUGGAUCACAAACAGCUGAACAGUUCUUAAAGAAAUACCUGACGAAC